UGAUUAUUUAUCACAGCCAUUUUGCAUAGUGCUAAUUACAAUGACAGCGAUAUCAUCAUAGUCUAUGAUCAAAGAGUGAAUUUCAGUAUGCUAAAGGUUCUUCUAUCAGCAUAAUAUACUACUUUAUCAGGCACAGUCUUUUUGGAUGUCCCCUAUGGUUGACACAGUUCAGGUGAGUUAACAUCUACAAAGUAAAUCAA
This 200-nucleotide long non-coding RNA is filed under the name Parus major (Great Tit). RNAcentral describes it as "lncRNA (ENSPMJG00000007413.1)". Lineage: Eukaryota; Metazoa; Chordata; Aves; Passeriformes; Paridae. The record is from RNAcentral.